This 301-nucleotide unclassified non-coding RNA is filed under the name Hevea brasiliensis (rubber tree). The record is from RNAcentral. Lineage: Eukaryota; Viridiplantae; Streptophyta; Magnoliopsida; Malpighiales; Euphorbiaceae.
GGGGUCUCAAAAGUGGAUAAUCUUCAAGUAAUUCACGUUCUGUAAGUGUGUCAUUCUCAUUCUGAGGAGUCCACAAAACUUCGACAGCCAGAGUUUUGCUAGCAGGUAUGGAAGCCAGCUUUUGGAGUGCCUCCUUCAGGUCUGCACUUCCGUUGAUGACAGGUAAUUUGUGUGUUCCCGAAGCAGCCACCAGAAUUGUUACCACGAUGUACUCAUUGUUGACACCCUUUAAUCUUUGACUGGCCGUUUUGCUCCUCUUAAUGUUGUUCAAGUUUACUAGAGUCUCUUCAUCAAACUUUCC